RNAcentral lists this ribosomal RNA (253 nucleotides) under uncultured bacterium. RNAcentral describes it as "partial 16S ribosomal RNA". It matches the Rfam family "Bacterial small subunit ribosomal RNA", at positions 524 to 776 of the family's 1533-position model. The record is from RNAcentral.
GACGGAGGAUGCAAGUGUUAUCCGGAAUCACUGGGCGUAAAGCGUCUGUAGGUGGUCAAAUAAGUCAACUGUUAAAUCUUGAGGCUCAACCUCAAAACCGCAGUCGAAACUAUUAGACUAGAGUAUAGUAGGGGUAAAGGGAAUUUCCAGUGGAGCGGUGAAAUGCGUAGAGAUUGGAAAGAACAACGAUGGCGAAGGCACUUUACUGGGCUAUUACUAACACUCAGAGACGAAAGCUAGGGUAGCAAAUGGG